UGUCAUAGAACCCGCGUUUCUUUUACAGUGUACAUCAUGAUUUAUAAUCACAGAUUGAGUUCUUUUUUCAUUGAUUUACUCUGCAUCUUUUCCUGUGUUCUAACUCCCAGUCAUGUCCUCAUAUGUAGUUUAUAGCACAGAGAAAAAUCCCCAACCUGAUGUAGUCAUCGAGGGACAACAUUAUAAGAGGAAGGCAGAGGGCUUACUAGGCCACAGUGAUUGUAAUGAAAACGGGGCUGCAGGCCAAUGAACUCUUACUCUGAGAC
This 266-nucleotide long non-coding RNA is filed under the name Fukomys damarensis (Damara mole-rat). RNAcentral's name for it is "lncRNA (ENSFDAG00000021861.1)". The record is from RNAcentral. Lineage: Eukaryota; Metazoa; Chordata; Mammalia; Rodentia; Bathyergidae.